Molecule: ribosomal RNA, 497 nt
Filed under: uncultured bacterium
Lineage: Bacteria
Description: bacterial SSU rRNA
Rfam family: Bacterial small subunit ribosomal RNA
Source: RNAcentral
AGAGUUUGAUCCUGGCUCAGGAUGAACGCUGGCGGCGUGCUUAACACAUGCAAGUCGAACGGAGUUUAGAGAGCUUGCUCUUUAAACUUAGUGGCGGACGGGUGAGUAACGCGUGGGUAACCUGCCUUUUCACUGGGGGAUAACAGUUAGAAAUGACUGCUAAUACCGCAUAAGCGCACAGGUUCGCAUGAACUAGUGUGAAAAACUCCGGUGGUGAAAGAUGGACCCGCGUCUGAUUAGCUAGUUGGUGAGGUAACGGCCCACCAAGGCGACGAUCAGUAGCCGGCCUGAGAGGGUGAACGGCCACAUUGGGACUGAGACACGGCCCAAACUCCUACGGGAGGCAGCAGUGGGGAAUAUUGCACAAUGGGGGAAACCCUGAUGCCAGCGACGCCGCGUGAGUGAAGAAGUAUUUCGGUAUGUAAAGCUCUAUCAGCAGGGAAGAAAAUGACGGUACCUGACUAAGAAGCCCCGGCUAACUACGUGCCAGCCGCCGC